Molecule: ribosomal RNA, 939 nt
Filed under: Triticum aestivum (bread wheat)
Lineage: Eukaryota; Viridiplantae; Streptophyta; Magnoliopsida; Poales; Poaceae
Description: partial small subunit ribosomal RNA
Source: RNAcentral
AUGAGGAACUUGAAAGACGAAAGAACUAAGAUUUAUCCCUCAACUGCGAGGGGAGGUAAGGAACUGCCAUCUAGCUCUGCACUAGAUUCUCCUUCUGUUAUGAGUAAUCUUGCGACACCUAAACCUGCUUCUGCUAUGAAUUCUGAUAUGUCGCAUGUUAUUGAUGAUGCCACUUCUACUAUGCAUGAUACUUAUGAUGAAACUACUUCUAUGCUUGAUACUACUGUGUCAUUAGGUGAAUAUCUUGAUGAACAACUUGUUAGGGCUCGAGAGAAUGAAAUUCUUGAAACUGAUAUUAUUGAAGAUAGUGAUGAUGAAGGUUCUCCUCCUAAAUAUGAAUUGCCUGUUGUUCCUGAGGGUUAUGUUACGGAUGAAGAAACUGCUAGAGAUUUUCUUGCUUGCAAUGACAGAUCUGAUCUUAAGAAGUUACUAGCUAAACUGAAACAGAAAUCUCUAAAUGCUAGAAUGAAAUAUGACCCUGCUUUUGCUACUUCACCUAUCUUUGUUGCCGAUAAGGAUUAUGAUUUCUCUGUCGACCCUGAGAUUAAUACUUUGGUUGAAUCUGAUCCUUUCUAUGGCUAUGAAUCUGAAACGGUUGUGGCAUAUCUUACUAAGUUAAAUGAUAUAGCCAUCCUGUUCACUAAUGAUGAGAAAUCUCGCUAUUAUUAUAUCCUUAAGAUAUUUCCAUUCUCAUUAAAGGGUGAUGCUAAAACUUGGUUUAAUUCUCUCGAUCCUGGUUGUGUGCAUAGUCCUCAGGAUAUGAUUUAUUACUUCUCUGCCAAAUAUUUCCCUGCUCAUAUGAAACAAGCUGCUUUAAGGGAAAUAUAUAAUUUUGUGCAAAUUGAAGAAGAGAGUCUCCGCUUCUCCGAUUACUUAAUGCUUUGUCUGAUCAUCCUCUUAAGAAAAAUGAAAUACUUGAUAUCUUUUAUAAUGGACUAA